This 1870-nucleotide long non-coding RNA is filed under the name Bemisia tabaci. RNAcentral describes it as "lncRNA ENSSSA3NGG000747". The record is from RNAcentral. Lineage: Eukaryota; Metazoa; Arthropoda; Insecta; Hemiptera; Aleyrodidae.
AUGCUUCUUGCAGAUGGCGAGGUUCCCGAAGAAGGUGGCUUUUUCUGCCAUGUUGAAGGUGAGGUUGGCACCCAUGGCGUCAACGGGGAUCUGAAAGAAGUGCUUGAGCAUCUGCAGGUUGGUGGACUUGCCGAAGUUGGGUGGCGCCACCAGGACGAGCUGCUCCCGACUGUCCAAGAAGUGUUUGAUGAACGUCGUUUUAUCGACGAACGUCUCACGGCCGGCCACCUCCCGAAAAGGCCACCACCCGUCUUCUCUCUCAUCUUGGUUGUGAGGUUACGGCCUGACUCUCAAAAUCACACAAGAUAUGUUUUUGAACAAAAAUAUAUCUGGAAAAAAGUUCCCUUUUGAAAAAUGAAACUUCCCACAAUUUCGGCACCCCUAAUGAAUGUUCUUUUGCCACCACAUUCCAUUAAAAAAUAUCACGUGAGUAGUAGAUUCCCAAGAUGUGUGAAAAUAAAUUGAAGGCCCGUUUAAAUAUAUUCAAAAAUGUGAUGCUGUCUCUUGAGAUUCACUUACCUGAAGGACAAAGCCGAUGUAAAACAGGAACUGUAGCAUUUUUCACUAAGAAAAAUAAUCAAUAUCAAAGUUGUUGUCCGAAACAGAGUAAACUUUCAGAAAUAGAAUGAGCCAGUUCAAAGCACGGAGAGCAAUACAAACACAACGCGAGCUAUGAUAAGACUACAAAUCGACGGUGUAAGUCGGCAAUCACAUAACUCGGUUCGCGACGUCGCAGACUUCCUGUCAAAGUUUAUUUUUUAAACAGAAAACUUCUCAACGGCAAUUCUUUGAAACCGCCGUGAUUUUUCAUCUCUGUGCAAAGAAAAUUCUGCAAGAUCUUCAAGGAAUGAUGUCAAUUUGUUCUCUUUCAAAAAAAUAACAUACAGGCGGAGAUUUUCAGACACCGCAAACGAGAUAUGUCAUUGCGGACUUGCGCCGUCAAAAUAUUAUGCAAGGGCAUUUACAAAGGCUGUCCCAGAAUGACCCGGACUGGUUCUGUAAUAACUCAAAAACUGAUCAACGGAUUGAGCUGAUCUUGGGCUCAUUUGAAUGAUACAAUCAAAUCGAAGCAAUUACGCUAAAGAUUACCUUAUUUGAAUGAAAAUUGACACUUUGACAACAAUGACACUUUAAAAACAGGUUGUAAGAAAAUACCCAACCGUUUUUUCUAUUUGUUUCUUUCGUUUUACUCAUCAAAUUUUUCCAGUGAUCUCUUCCCAUCAAAAACAACUUGGCAACAAAUGCUGAUUGCCUUUUUGAUUCAGAGGGCAUGGUCUAUCAGCACUUUGUAUAUAUAACCGAUAAAACUACUGUGGACAGCGAAUAUUAUUACAAUGUUCUGACGGAUUUUCGCACGCAUGUCUCGCGAAAACGUCCGAAAUUGAAAACAACCUGGAUGCUCCAUCAGGACAACGCGCAUUCUCACACCUCGAACGCCGCCAGCAAUUUUAUAUUAAAGAGGGAAGUUGAGACCCUCAGGCACCCACCAUACAGCCCCGAUCUCGCUCCAUGCGACUUCUGGUUGUUCCCGCAAUGGGCCUGUUGCAUGCAAGAGAUACAGCCGUAUGAAUAGACUUUUGAGAGGUAAAAUGUCACGAAAAUUACGAUGGGCACAUUAAAAAAGUCUGAAAUACACUCCUUAUUGCGCAAUUUGUGUUGUUAGGAACGCGCUUUUUCAAAUUUUCCGCGUCUGGGGGCAGUUUUCUAACGGAAACAAGUAACGGCAACUCGCGGCUAUUUCCGGUCAACUAAAACUGACAACAUAACCUGAAAAUCGGAGAUCGUGAUAUCGUGAAAUGAAAUGUAGAAGGAUUGCGUUGAAUAUUUAAAAGUUGAUAAUUUAGUUACUGCGUAAAGGGUAUGUGGACCA